RNAcentral lists this ribosomal RNA (206 nucleotides) under uncultured bacterium. RNAcentral describes it as "partial 16S ribosomal RNA". It matches the Rfam family "Bacterial small subunit ribosomal RNA", at positions 568 to 774 of the family's 1533-position model. The record is from RNAcentral.
AGCGUAGGCGGUCAAGCAAGUCAGGGGUGAAAGGCAUCGGCUCAACCGAUGUAAGCCUUUGAAACUGUUUGACUUGAGUGCAGGAGAGGAAAGUGGAAUUCCUAGUGUAGCGGUGAAAUGCGUAGAUAUUAGGAGGAACACCAGUGGCGAAGGCGACUUUCUGGACUGUAACUGACGCUGAGGCCCGAAAGCGUGGGGAGCGAACA